CCAAAGCGGGUGGUAAACUCCAUCUAAGGCUAAAUACAACCACGAGACCGAUAGCGAACAAGUACCGUGAGGGAAAGUUGAAAAGGACUUUGAAGAGAGAGUUCAAGAGUACGUGAAACCGCUCAGGGGUAAACGGAAAAGACCCGAAAUUCCGAAAAGGGAGAUUCACGUCUGCUCGCACGUGCUCGGCACUUGUCGCGUUUGGACGACCGUUUGUGCCCCCGCUUUCGACGCAAGUUGAAGCGGUCGGGUCUGGUUGCCGGCGUGUCAGUUUCGUUCCGAGCCGCGGCGGACCGCACUUCUCCCUUAGUAGGACGUCGCGACCCGCUCGUCCGUGGCCUACGGCUGAGCAAGACGCCUGGCGCUCGCUGGGGGGUCGGUUUCGGCCGGUCUCUCGCGGGUCUGUCAGACUGCUCAUGCUUCCCGGCCACGGUAACGGACGGUAUCGAAUACCGGUGUCGAGUCGCUUCCACGCGCCGGGGGUCACACCCUGGUGUAUGUAAGCGUCCUAGGCGGAGGGCAAGGUUUCUGAGUUUCUAAAAACGCAAGUUUUGAAGUCAAGACGUUUAUUUUUUGUUCGUCUGACGGAGCUCGGGCCUGUUGGUUCUCUGUCUUUGGGCUGGCUCGUUCCCAUUGCGCGGAGAAAGGCACCAGUCGGCGGCGAUCUAGUUUUGGGCUCUUUUCCGA
Molecule: ribosomal RNA, 687 nt
Filed under: Pseudacysta perseae
Lineage: Eukaryota; Metazoa; Arthropoda; Insecta; Hemiptera; Tingidae
Description: eukaryotic LSU rRNA
Rfam family: Eukaryotic large subunit ribosomal RNA
Source: RNAcentral